This 72-nucleotide transfer RNA is filed under the name Ictidomys tridecemlineatus (thirteen-lined ground squirrel). Its description in RNAcentral is "Spermophilus tridecemlineatus (thirteen-lined ground squirrel) tRNA". It matches the Rfam family "tRNA". Rfam says of the family: Transfer RNA (tRNA) molecules are approximately 80 nucleotides in length. Their secondary structure includes four short double-helical elements and three loops (D, anti-codon, and T loops). The record is from Rfam by way of RNAcentral. Lineage: Eukaryota; Metazoa; Chordata; Mammalia; Rodentia; Sciuridae.
UGGGCUGUAGCUCAGUGGUAGAGCACUUGCCUAGCAUGCACAAGGCCCUGGAUUCCAUCCCUAGCACCUCUA